Molecule: ribosomal RNA, 2904 nt
Filed under: Escherichia coli
Lineage: Bacteria; Pseudomonadati; Pseudomonadota; Gammaproteobacteria; Enterobacterales; Enterobacteriaceae
Description: 23S ribosomal RNA
Rfam family: Bacterial large subunit ribosomal RNA
Source: RNAcentral
GGUUAAGCGACUAAGCGUACACGGUGGAUGCCCUGGCAGUCAGAGGCGAUGAAGGACGUGCUAAUCUGCGAUAAGCGUCGGUAAGGUGAUAUGAACCGUUAUAACCGGCGAUUUCCGAAUGGGGAAACCCAGUGUGUUUCGACACACUAUCAUUAACUGAAUCCAUAGGUUAAUGAGGCGAACCGGGGGAACUGAAACAUCUAAGUACCCCGAGGAAAAGAAAUCAACCGAGAUUCCCCCAGUAGCGGCGAGCGAACGGGGAGCAGCCCAGAGCCUGAAUCAGUGUGUGUGUUAGUGGAAGCGUCUGGAAAGGCGCGCGAUACAGGGUGACAGCCCCGUACACAAAAAUGCACAUGCUGUGAGCUCGAUGAGUAGGGCGGGACACGUGGUAUCCUGUCUGAAUAUGGGGGGACCAUCCUCCAAGGCUAAAUACUCCUGACUGACCGAUAGUGAACCAGUACCGUGAGGGAAAGGCGAAAAGAACCCCGGCGAGGGGAGUGAAAAAGAACCUGAAACCGUGUACGUACAAGCAGUGGGAGCACGCUUCGGCGUGUGACUGCGUACCUUUUGUAUAAUGGGUCAGCGACUUAUAUUCUGUAGCAAGGUUAACCGAAUAGGGGAGCCGAAGGGAAACCGAGUCUUAACUGGGCGUUAAGUUGCAGGGUAUAGACCCGAAACCCGGUGAUCUAGCCAUGGGCAGGUUGAAGGUUGGGUAACACUAACUGGAGGACCGAACCGACUAAUGUUGAAAAAUUAGCGGAUGACUUGUGGCUGGGGGUGAAAGGCCAAUCAAACCGGGAGAUAGCUGGUUCUCCCCGAAAGCUAUUUAGGUAGCGCCUCGUGAAUUCAUCUCCGGGGGUAGAGCACUGUUUCGGCAAGGGGGUCAUCCCGACUUACCAACCCGAUGCAAACUGCGAAUACCGGAGAAUGUUAUCACGGGAGACACACGGCGGGUGCUAACGUCCGUCGUGAAGAGGGAAACAACCCAGACCGCCAGCUAAGGUCCCAAAGUCAUGGUUAAGUGGGAAACGAUGUGGGAAGGCCCAGACAGCCAGGAUGUUGGCUUAGAAGCAGCCAUCAUUUAAAGAAAGCGUAAUAGCUCACUGGUCGAGUCGGCCUGCGCGGAAGAUGUAACGGGGCUAAACCAUGCACCGAAGCUGCGGCAGCGACGCUUAUGCGUUGUUGGGUAGGGGAGCGUUCUGUAAGCCUGCGAAGGUGUGCUGUGAGGCAUGCUGGAGGUAUCAGAAGUGCGAAUGCUGACAUAAGUAACGAUAAAGCGGGUGAAAAGCCCGCUCGCCGGAAGACCAAGGGUUCCUGUCCAACGUUAAUCGGGGCAGGGUGAGUCGACCCCUAAGGCGAGGCCGAAAGGCGUAGUCGAUGGGAAACAGGUUAAUAUUCCUGUACUUGGUGUUACUGCGAAGGGGGGACGGAGAAGGCUAUGUUGGCCGGGCGACGGUUGUCCCGGUUUAAGCGUGUAGGCUGGUUUUCCAGGCAAAUCCGGAAAAUCAAGGCUGAGGCGUGAUGACGAGGCACUACGGUGCUGAAGCAACAAAUGCCCUGCUUCCAGGAAAAGCCUCUAAGCAUCAGGUAACAUCAAAUCGUACCCCAAACCGACACAGGUGGUCAGGUAGAGAAUACCAAGGCGCUUGAGAGAACUCGGGUGAAGGAACUAGGCAAAAUGGUGCCGUAACUUCGGGAGAAGGCACGCUGAUAUGUAGGUGAAGUCCCUCGCGGAUGGAGCUGAAAUCAGUCGAAGAUACCAGCUGGCUGCAACUGUUUAUUAAAAACACAGCACUGUGCAAACACGAAAGUGGACGUAUACGGUGUGACGCCUGCCCGGUGCCGGAAGGUUAAUUGAUGGGGUCAGCGCAAGCGAAGCUCUUGAUCGAAGCCCCGGUAAACGGCGGCCGUAACUAUAACGGUCCUAAGGUAGCGAAAUUCCUUGUCGGGUAAGUUCCGACCUGCACGAAUGGCGUAAUGAUGGCCAGGCUGUCUCCACCCGAGACUCAGUGAAAUUGAACUCGCUGUGAAGAUGCAGUGUACCCGCGGCAAGACGGAAAGACCCCGUGAACCUUUACUAUAGCUUGACACUGAACAUUGAGCCUUGAUGUGUAGGAUAGGUGGGAGGCUUUGAAGUGUGGACGCCAGUCUGCAUGGAGCCGACCUUGAAAUACCACCCUUUAAUGUUUGAUGUUCUAACGUUGACCCGUAAUCCGGGUUGCGGACAGUGUCUGGUGGGUAGUUUGACUGGGGCGGUCUCCUCCUAAAGAGUAACGGAGGAGCACGAAGGUUGGCUAAUCCUGGUCGGACAUCAGGAGGUUAGUGCAAUGGCAUAAGCCAGCUUGACUGCGAGCGUGACGGCGCGAGCAGGUGCGAAAGCAGGUCAUAGUGAUCCGGUGGUUCUGAAUGGAAGGGCCAUCGCUCAACGGAUAAAAGGUACUCCGGGGAUAACAGGCUGAUACCGCCCAAGAGUUCAUAUCGACGGCGGUGUUUGGCACCUCGAUGUCGGCUCAUCACAUCCUGGGGCUGAAGUAGGUCCCAAGGGUAUGGCUGUUCGCCAUUUAAAGUGGUACGCGAGCUGGGUUUAGAACGUCGUGAGACAGUUCGGUCCCUAUCUGCCGUGGGCGCUGGAGAACUGAGGGGGGCUGCUCCUAGUACGAGAGGACCGGAGUGGACGCAUCACUGGUGUUCGGGUUGUCAUGCCAAUGGCACUGCCCGGUAGCUAAAUGCGGAAGAGAUAAGUGCUGAAAGCAUCUAAGCACGAAACUUGCCCCGAGAUGAGUUCUCCCUGACUCCUUGAGAGUCCUGAAGGAACGUUGAAGACGACGACGUUGAUAGGCCGGGUGUGUAAGCGCAGCGAUGCGUUGAGCUAACCGGUACUAAUGAACCGUGAGGCUUAACCUU